AUACGGAGGAUCCAAGCGUUAUCCGGAAUCAUUGGGUUUAAAGGGUCCGCAGGCGGCCAGAUAAGUCAGUGGUGAAAUUCCGUGGCUCAACCACGGAACUGCCAUUGAUACUGUUUGGCUUGAAUCAGUUCGAGGAUGCCGGAAUGUGUGGUGUAGCGGUGAAAUGCAUAGAUAUCACACAGAACACCAAUUGCGAAGGCAGGUGUCCCGAAGAACUGUAUUGACGCUGAGUGGAACGAAAGCGGUGGGUAGACGAACGAGGUAUUAGACUACCCGUGGUACGUCCACGACCGUAAACGA
RNAcentral lists this ribosomal RNA (300 nucleotides) under uncultured Croceibacter sp. RNAcentral's name for it is "bacterial SSU rRNA". It matches the Rfam family "Bacterial small subunit ribosomal RNA", at positions 523 to 809 of the family's 1533-position model. The record is from RNAcentral. Lineage: Bacteria; Pseudomonadati; Bacteroidota; Flavobacteriia; Flavobacteriales; Flavobacteriaceae.